This is a long non-coding RNA of Oncorhynchus nerka (sockeye salmon), 1098 nucleotides long. RefSeq lists it as uncharacterized. The record is from RefSeq and is a predicted model, not a curated record. Lineage: Eukaryota; Metazoa; Chordata; Actinopteri; Salmoniformes; Salmonidae. The transcript is spliced from 4 exons.
GCACCGUGCACUGCCAGAUGACAGUCUGCCUCAUGGACAGCAGCAGCUGAGCUCAGCCUCGUGUCUCUGGUGGCAUCAUCGGAAGGUAGCCUAGCUGGCCUGUUGAGUUGAGACCACCAGACUGCUAACCAACAGCAGCAUGGCACGAAAGUACGGAACAGGCAUCAACAACAGUCAGCGGUUGACAACCAAACGAGGCAGGACUCAGCUAGCGCUAUCAACCCGUUCCUGGACCAACAGAUAUAUCCCAGUCAAGAGCAGAGGGGCCCAAACAGUCACAUCUGUAGUUUUUCCCUCGGACCCUUCAGGGGGAUAGAAGACGAGGCUUCAUGAAAGAGUGGUGUAUCUUGAGGUAGCUCCUUUCUGAGAACCUCUUCCCGCAGUGCAAACAGGAAAACGGCCUCUCUUCCGUGUGGACCUUCAGGUGCAUCUUCAGGUUGCCAGCCUGGGCAAAGCACAUAUGACACCGGGGGCAGCUGAAAGGCUGGGAGUGGGUCGCGACAUUUGGAUUUGUCUCUAAGCUUUCCCUGUAAUCUAAGAAAUAUCUGCCUUGUGAGUGUCCUUCAUCUAAGUGAGUCUCAUCGAUAUUCCAUGUCAGAGGCCCGUCGCCCUCCACUUUCACGUCAUCUACCACUAGAUCCUCCCCAUUCUUAUCUAGGCACCCUUCAGAGUGUAUACUACUGUACUGGUUCCAGUCCCCUCUAGACAGAUCAGUCUGUGUCUCUAAACCCAAGGGCAUGUUGCCAGGGUCCAUCUCUGUAGUGGAAGAACAAGACAGAUCAUUGCCAGUCUCUAACACAUAACCUGAGUCCCGAUGGGAAUGAACCAUCCUCGGGCUCGUAAUACCGUAAAACAAAUACUCUGAGCCGGGAGCAGGAGCACACCCCAGUGGUCCCAACUCCAGUCUCUCUGGGUCUGAUCUGUGGUCAGGUCCUGUGUGUAAGAGCCUGUGUGUCACAAUUAAAUUCUCGCUUUCUGUCUCUGACUCGAGGACGGCGUUCAGCGUUCCACUGACCUCCAUGAUGCUGCAUCGGUUCUUAGGCUGGGGCGGGGCAGCAGGGUCCUCCGUGGCUAAAGGGGGCACCACUCCAGCCACUA